Cinara cedri is the source of this 1059-nucleotide non-coding RNA. The record is from the annotation of a GenBank genome assembly. NCBI's taxonomy places the organism in Eukaryota, Metazoa, Arthropoda, Insecta, Hemiptera, Aphididae.
AAGACAUUAAAUGAGAAUGUGACGAAGUUCUCUUCACCCCAAAUAAUGUCAGGAUGGUUUUAUUACCAGCCCAAAAUAAUAAUAACAAAAAUGUUUGAAAACGUUUGCCUAAUGAUAAUUACGCAAUCUCCGCGACCUUAUCGUUCAAAUUUAAUUAUUACCCGUCGACUUUUAAAUGUUAAGGAUAAUACCAUAGUCUCUGAUGUAUGUAUGGUUCGCACGUCAUGACAUUUAAACCACAGUGAAUUUUACUUACCAAUAUAUUAUUAUUGUUAGGUAUAUAUUCUACCUUUGUUUGUUAUAAAUGAAUACGCGAGCGAUUAUAAUAUAGGCCUGGGGAGGUUUUCGGGCACGCUUAUACUUAGCCUUUUUUUAUAUAAUUAUACGGGAUGAUAUUUUUGUCGCAAACCGGCCAUUUUCUCGGAGGUUUUUAAAUGAAUUAAAAUUUUUUUUUUUUUUAUUUUUUUAAUCAUUAUAGCAGAAUCGUUGAAGUUUUAUCAUAAGACUAUUUUUCAUUUUUCUACCCCUACUCCUCAUAACAAAAAAUGAUAGUAUCCACUUUAGUUUUUUAAACAGCCGCCUCUUUCUAAACUACAGAUUCGAAUGAGAAUAUUUUUCUAGAAAUUUUGAUACGCGUAACAUCAAAAUAGGGGUUAUCGUUUAUGAGUUAUAACAGUUUACGAGUUUAGACCGCCGAGGAAUAGGGAAUGGUAAUAAAUUGCAAAUCUGUCACUGGCCGAUCCGUGAUGAAUCAAUCACUUUGUAUACUCGUAUUAUUAUUAUAGAUGUACGUAGACGUGGUUUUCGGUAAAAAUCGCCUGGCCUUUAAGAGUCCCUUUAUUAUUGGGUACGCCACUGGCACGCGAAGUGUUCCAAAUAUGGCUGCAUGCAGACAUUUCGUAUUGUUCGUGAGUUCACUGCCGAUAACAAAAAAACAAAAAAAAAUCCAUGUUUUUGCGAGAAUUAUAAAAUUAUUUGACAUUCGUUAUCUGCAGUUUCGCUGCAGAUGAUCGUGCAAAAUGUUUUUAGGACGGAAAAAAUACGACUGAGGAUUCGUGU